Molecule: unclassified non-coding RNA, 949 nt
Filed under: Mizuhopecten yessoensis (Yesso scallop)
Lineage: Eukaryota; Metazoa; Mollusca; Bivalvia; Pectinida; Pectinidae
Description: uncharacterized LOC110452058, transcript variant X1
Source: RNAcentral
AUACUUUGCCUUGUUGAUUUUAUCUUGUUUAACAAUCUAUUAACAGCUAAGGUCAUUUAAGGACGUGAAGAACAAGGUAGCAAGCAUCUCAGGGAUAUUGGGACCUCAGAGAACCAACUCUAAUUCUACAUUACAAUUUCAUAGUCAAAUGCAAUUUCAGGCUUAAGGAUAUAUGCUACCUUUGUGAUAUGCAUCAAAAAGAGUUCUACACUAAAGAAUCUGCAAAAUUGGCCCUUCUGAAAGGUGCGCAUAAUUGAUGCCAUUUUAAAAGGUAGACAGGAAUUAAUGACACAUUUAGAAAAGAACUCUGGUAUUGAUGACAAACUUAAAAAAUACACAAGAAUCAAUGACAUAUUUGAAAGGUACACAAGCAUUAAUGACCUAAUUAUAGGUACACAAGAAUUGAUGACAUAUAUGUAAAUUGCACAACAAAGAAGAUUUGAUAAGGGAUUAGUAAUUUUGAAUCAUAUAAGUUGGUACCACUUAAAUAUACCUGAAGUAUACAUUGUAACUAGUAAUGUAAGAAAAUAGUUUCAGAGCUGUCACAACGUUAAACAUCUGUCACCAGGUUCAACAAAUGCCGUUAAAUAUCACAAUUCUUUGACAAGAACAACACCGUACCCAGACAGAAUGGGAAGAUGGCUUCACAUUUAAGAUGUCCCUGUUCCAGUUUGUCAACUACUAUUCCUCCAUCUUCUAUAUUGCAUUCUUCAAGGGCAAAAAACUGAUGAUAUGGUUUAAGUCUCGGUCAGUGACUAAGGACCCGAACGAGGAGAAAGUGUACUCGAGGUGGGAACAGGACUUUCAUCAGGCCGACAUACCCAACAUUGGACUAUAUGAUGAAGAUCUUGAAAUAGUAUGGAUUUGUCACCAUUUCUGUGGCUGCUUUUCCAUUAGCUCCUGUGUUUGCUCUUAUCAACAACAUUUUUGAGAUCCGAUUGGAUCCUUA